GGACGAACGCUGGCGGCGUGCUUAACACAUGCAAGUCGAGCGGAAAGGCCACUUCGGUGGUACUCGAGCGGCGAACGGGUGAGUAACACGUGAGUAAUCUGCCCCUGGCUUUGGGAUAGCCACCGGAAACGGUGAUUAAUACCGAAUAUGACCACGUACUGCAUGGUGUGUGGUGGAAAGUUUUUCGGCCAGGGAUGUGCUCGCGGCCUAUCAGCUUGAUGGUGAGGUAAUGGCUCACCAUGGCUUCGACGGGUAGCCGGCCUGAGAGGGUGACCGGUCACACUGGGACUGAGACACGGCCCAGACUCCUACGGGAGGCAGCAGUGGGGAAUAUUGGACAAUGGGCGGAAGCCUGAUCCAGCAACGCCGCGUGAGGGA
RNAcentral lists this ribosomal RNA (378 nucleotides) under uncultured bacterium. Its description in RNAcentral is "bacterial SSU rRNA". It matches the Rfam family "Bacterial small subunit ribosomal RNA", at positions 27 to 408 of the family's 1533-position model. The record is from RNAcentral.